CACGCCGUAAACGAUGAGUGCUAGGUGCUGUGGGUAUUGACCCCCGCGGUGCCGCAGCUAACGCGUUAAGCACUCCGCCUGGGGAGUACGGCCGCAAGGCUAAAACUCAAAGGAAUUGACGGGGGCCCGCACAAGCGGUGGAGCAUGUGGUUCAAUUCGACGCAACGCGCAGAACCUUACCUGGGUUAAAUCCAUUCAAAGCUGCCAGAGAUGGCGGGGUGCCCUUCGGGGAAUGAAUGAGAAGGUGC
This 248-nucleotide ribosomal RNA is filed under the name uncultured bacterium. RNAcentral's name for it is "partial 16S ribosomal RNA". It matches the Rfam family "Bacterial small subunit ribosomal RNA", at positions 796 to 1041 of the family's 1533-position model. The record is from RNAcentral.